UACGUAGGUGGCAAGCGCUGUCCGGAUUUAUUGGGUUUAAAGGGUGCGUAGGCGGCCUUGUAAGUCAGUGCUGAAAUAUCCCGGCUUAACCGGGAGGGUGGCAUUGAUACUGCAGGGCUUGAGUACAGUUGAGGUUGGCGGAAUUGACGGUGUAGCGGUGAAAUGCUUAGAUAUCGUCAAGAACACCGAUAGUGAAGACAGCUAACUAAGCUUUAACUGACGCUGAGGCACGAAAGUGUGGGGAUCAAACAGG
RNAcentral lists this ribosomal RNA (253 nucleotides) under uncultured bacterium. RNAcentral's name for it is "partial 16S ribosomal RNA". It matches the Rfam family "Bacterial small subunit ribosomal RNA", at positions 524 to 776 of the family's 1533-position model. The record is from RNAcentral.